RNAcentral lists this ribosomal RNA (510 nucleotides) under Escherichia coli. Its description in RNAcentral is "partial 23S ribosomal RNA". It matches the Rfam family "Bacterial large subunit ribosomal RNA", at positions 2131 to 2640 of the family's 2925-position model. The record is from RNAcentral. Lineage: Bacteria; Pseudomonadati; Pseudomonadota; Gammaproteobacteria; Enterobacterales; Enterobacteriaceae.
UUGAUGUGUAGGAUAGGUGGGAGGCUUUGAAGUGUGGACGCCAGUCUGCAUGGAGCCGACCUUGAAAUACCACCCUUUAAUGUUUGAUGUUCUAACGUUGACCCGUAAUCCGGGUUGCGGACAGUGUCUGGUGGGUAGUUUGACUGGGGCGGUCUCCUCCUAAAGAGUAACGGAGGAGCACGAAGGUUGGCUAAUCCUGGUCGGACAUCAGGAGGUUAGUGCAAUGGCAUAAGCCAGCUUGACUGCGAGCGUGACGGCGCGAGCAGGUGCGAAAGCAGGUCAUAGUGAUCCGGUGGUUCUGAAUGGAAGGGCCAUCGCUCAACGGAUAAAAGGUACUCCGGGGAUAACAGGCUGAUACCGCCCAAGAGUUCAUAUCGACGGCGGUGUUUGGCACCUCGAUGUCGGCUCAUCACAUCCUGGGGCUGAAGUAGGUCCCAAGGGUAUGGCUGUUCGCCAUUUAAAGUGGUACGCGAGCUGGGUUUAGAACGUCGUGAGACAGUUCGGUCCCUA